UCGAGUUUUGAACAGGUUGUAGCUGGCCUUUCACAAGGCAUGUGGCACGGCUUGGCUCAUCCACUCUUUAACCUCUGUGCACUAUUCAUAGAACGGACAGAAGGCUGAGAAUCUAUUCUCAGUUCAAUGUCUGCUCUGUGUAAUUUUUCUACCAACUCUUGUUGUUAAUGAAUGUCUUCUUGCGGAUAACGCAAACAUAAAA
RNAcentral lists this unclassified non-coding RNA (202 nucleotides) under uncultured Basidiomycota. RNAcentral's name for it is "sequence contains ITS1". Lineage: Eukaryota; Fungi; Basidiomycota. The record is from RNAcentral.